GGUAGCUUGCUACCUGCCGGCGAGUGGCGAACGGGUGAGUAAUACAUCGGAACGUGCCCUGUAGUGGGGGAUAACUAGUCGAAAGACUAGCUAAUACCGCAUACGACCUGAGGGUGAAAGUGGGGGACCGCAAGGCCUCAUGCUAUAGGAGCGGCCGAUGUCUGAUUAGCUAGUUGGUGGGGUAAAGGCCCACCAAGGCGACGAUCAGUAGCUGGUCUGAGAGGACGAUCAGCCACACUGGGACUGAGACACGGCCCAGACUCCUACGGGAGGCAGCAGUGGG
RNAcentral lists this ribosomal RNA (283 nucleotides) under Ralstonia solanacearum. RNAcentral's name for it is "partial 16S ribosomal RNA". It matches the Rfam family "Bacterial small subunit ribosomal RNA", at positions 74 to 358 of the family's 1533-position model. Lineage: Bacteria; Pseudomonadati; Pseudomonadota; Betaproteobacteria; Burkholderiales; Burkholderiaceae. The record is from RNAcentral.